UAAGUUAAGAUUUGUGUUUCUUUGCUUUGUAUUUAAUUGGAUUUAUUUAAAUAAAAUAUGUUUUUAAAUACAAUAACUUAUUCUCCUAUUACAUCAAAUAUAUUUUCGAUAAUGAAUUUUGAAGAAUCUAAGGAGAACAUACAGCCUUUAGCCUCAGGACGAAACGCCAGUUUGUUGCAAGCAUCGUUGCGCUCAGAGGUAGAAGAAUUGUUCACACAACGCCGUUAGAUGGAGCACAACAUACAUAGUUAUAAAGGUGAUGAUCCACUUGAGGCAUGACACACAUAUAUAAGUUGAAUUGAGCAAUAUUUUCCGUUCGAUGGUAAAAAAUCAAGUUCAUUUGCGGCCAUAAAAAUUCUAUUGAAACUUACCAACAGCUUUUUAAUGGUGAAUACACCAAAAGUUGAUGAAAUAUUUAAACAAUGCGUUGCUUGUAGAGUCCAACCUCUAGAUGAGUUGCAAGAAGCACAGCCACAUUUCGGUUUCUCUGUGGCGCAAAGAUAUAUUUAUGGUGAAGAUAAAUGAGCUAAAAACAUUGUCAAUCGACAGCUUGAGGAAUGCCGUUUGGCACUGAUUUCGCUACCUGGAUAUAGUCCUAAAGCGACAGUUGGAAGUAUAAGAACAGGUGCUUCAGGUAAUAACUAUGUACCUGGUACCAUUCAAACUGAUUCUUCUUUGGUGGUAAAACGUUCUAAUACCCCCGUAAAAGUUUUUAAUGACGGAAAUUAACAGUGUGACAGAACGCCAUCGCAUCUCAGGAAAGUAUCAAAAAUAAAGCACACGACAAAAAGAAGCGUGGCAAAUUAUAUACCAAAAUUCAUUAACCUGCCUUUAAUAUACAUAAAGAUCAGCUGAUGGAAAUGGUUUGUGUGGAUCCGAAUGUCAAUCCAUUUAAUGUAGAAUUACUAAACGCUUUUCUAAAUCAUAUUGAUUUUAUAACUUUUUUAAAAAACUUGCGAACUUGUAAAAUGUGGUAUUGACACUAAAACUGGUAAAUAUAUGCUUAAACAGAAACGACCACCAAACUACUGGGAGUAUUAUAUUUGCUUAGAGCUACAAAGUCGCAUUACAUCAGAAAAUAUGUUAUGCACUUAACAUGAAGAUUGAUUUUUCUCUAAUCUCAAUAACUCACGUCUAUAAGUAUCCAAAUUUUCGGACUAUGGUUCACUGAUAAAUCUUUGCAACAAAGUUAAAAAGGCGACUGUGAAAAAUGUGGACGAAUACGUAGUGAUGUACCUGAUAUACCUGAAAAUUAUAAUUUUUGGAAAUUAUGGAUCACCUACACGCUAAUAUCAUCCACGCAGAUAUUAAACCUGAUAAUGUACUGUUAAUGAAUAAGUUGACAUAUCCAGUGAAGCAAUGUUGCUUGCAACUGAUCGACUUUGGUAUUUCGAUCGAUUCUCUGAGCAAAGGUUCAGUUAUGUGCACAAUAAUAAUGGAUUCAAUUGUGUGGAAAUGCGUGAUAAACGUCCAUGGACAUAUCAAUUGGAUUUGUAUGGCUUAACAGGAGUGGUACAUGUAUUGCUCUUUGGUAAAUAUAUGGAAAUAAAAAAUCGUUCCGAUGUUAUUUGGAUGCAUAAAACGCAUUAGCCGCAUUAUUUUAAUAGAAUUUUAUGGGAAAUUAUCUUCAGGGAAUUGCUGGACGUGCGCGAUUACAACGCAAUGUCAUUUUCAAAAUGUGUCUGAUAUUUUGAUAGAACUUCUUCCAAAUCGAAAUUUUUACCAUCGGACGAAAAGUAUUGCUCAAUCCAACUUAUUAUGUGUGCCAUGCCUCAAGUGGAUCAUCUCCUUUAUAAUUAUGUAUGUUGUGCUUCAUCUAACGGUGUUGUGUGAACAAUUCUUUUAUGUCUGAGCGCAACGAUGCUUGCAACAAACUGGCGUUUCGUCCUGAGGCUAAAGGCUGUAUGUUCUCCUUAGAUUCUUCAAAAUUCAUUACCGAAAAUAUAUUUGUUGUAAUAGGAGAAAAGGAUAUUGUAUUUAAUUUGUU
This is a long non-coding RNA of Teleopsis dalmanni, 1987 nucleotides long. RefSeq lists it as uncharacterized. The transcript is spliced from 6 exons. NCBI's taxonomy places the organism in Eukaryota, Metazoa, Arthropoda, Insecta, Diptera, Diopsidae. The record is from RefSeq and is a predicted model, not a curated record.